RNAcentral lists this ribosomal RNA (305 nucleotides) under uncultured bacterium. Its description in RNAcentral is "bacterial SSU rRNA". It matches the Rfam family "Bacterial small subunit ribosomal RNA", at positions 334 to 656 of the family's 1533-position model. The record is from RNAcentral.
AUGUCCUACGGGAGGCAGCAGUGGGGAAUAUUGCACAAUGGGGGAAACCCUGAUGCAGCGACGCCGCGUGAGUGAUGAAGUAUUUCGGUAUGUAAAGCUCUAUCAGCAGGGAAGAUAAUGACGGUACCUGACUAAGAAGCUCCGGCUAAAUACGUGCCAGCAGCCGCGGUAAUACGUAUGGAGCAAGCGUUAUCCGGAUUUACUGGGUGUAAAGGGAGCGUAGACGGCGAUGCAAGCCAGAUGUGAAAGCCCGCGGCUCAACUGCGGUAGUGCAUUUGGAACUGUAUGGCUGGAGUGCAGGAGAG